This 72-nucleotide transfer RNA is filed under the name Hirsutella rhossiliensis. RNAcentral describes it as "tRNA-His". It matches the Rfam family "tRNA". Rfam says of the family: Transfer RNA (tRNA) molecules are approximately 80 nucleotides in length. Their secondary structure includes four short double-helical elements and three loops (D, anti-codon, and T loops). Lineage: Eukaryota; Fungi; Ascomycota; Sordariomycetes; Hypocreales; Ophiocordycipitaceae. The record is from RNAcentral.
GGUAAUCAUAACUCAACGGUAGAGUAAUUAUUUGUGGCAUAGUCGGUCUUGGUUCGAUUCCAGGUGUUUACC